RNAcentral lists this ribosomal RNA (581 nucleotides) under uncultured Bacteroidota bacterium. Its description in RNAcentral is "bacterial SSU rRNA". It matches the Rfam family "Bacterial small subunit ribosomal RNA", at positions 63 to 641 of the family's 1533-position model. The record is from RNAcentral. Lineage: Bacteria; Pseudomonadati; Bacteroidota.
CGAACGGUAGUCCCGAUUUAUCGGGAUGAGAGUGGCGCACGGGUGAGUAACACGUAUGCAACCUACCUACAACAGGGGGAUAGCCCGGAGAAAUUCGGAUUAAUACCGCAUAAUACAGGGAGUCCGCAUGGACAUAUUUGUUAAAGAGUUAUCGGUUGUAGAUGGGCAUGCGCAACAUUAGGUAGUUGGUGAGGUAACGGCUCACCAAGCCUUCGAUGUUUAGGGGAACUGAGAGGUUUAUCCCCCACACUGGAACUGAGACACGGUCCAGACUCCUACGGGAGGCAGCAGUGAGGAAUAUUGGUCAAUGGACGGAAGUCUGAACCAGCCAAGUCGCGUGAAGGAUGACGGUGCUCUGCAUUGUAAACUUCUUUUAUGUAGGAAUAAAACGGGGGACGUGUCCCCUUUUGCAGGUACUACACGAAUAAGGAUCGGCUAACUCCGUGCCAGCAGCCGCGGUAAUACGGAGGAUUCGAGCGUUAUCCGGAUUUAUUGGGUUUAAAGGGUGCGUAGGCGGUUUCUUAAGUCUGUGGUGAAAUUUUGCGGCUCAACCGUAAGCGUGCCAUGGAAACUGGGGGGAC